CAGCACCUCAAGUGGUCAGGAUGAUUAUUGGGCCUAAAGCAUCCGUAGCCGGCUCUGUAAGUUUUCGGUUAAAUCUGUAUGCUCAACAUACAGGCUGCCGGGAAUACUGCAGAGCUAGGGAGUGGGAGAGGUAGACGGUACUCGGUAGGAAGGGGUAAAAUCCUCUGAUCUAUUGAUGACCACCUGUGGCGAAGGCGGUCUACCAGAACACGUCCGACGGUGAGGGAUGAAAGCUGGGGGAGCAAACCGGAUUAGAUACCCGAGUAGUCC
This 270-nucleotide ribosomal RNA is filed under the name uncultured archaeon. RNAcentral describes it as "partial 16S ribosomal RNA". It matches the Rfam family "Archaeal small subunit ribosomal RNA", at positions 477 to 747 of the family's 1478-position model. The record is from RNAcentral.